GGACAACCGUGCGAAGCUCUGACAAAGCCUGAGAACAUUUUGGCCAGCCAUUCAUCAUGGUGUUUUGUACCGCACCCUGGCCAACAACAGCUUCUCAACUAUGUUCUGGACAUCAGCAGACCCAAAGAUGAGCUGAUUGUUGAAACGUCUUCUGGAUGCCUCAUGCGGGCAGAUUUUUGGACACUGGGUUUAAACAAACAAAUGGAAUCGACUAUUGGAAAUGGCUGUUUUGAGCUUAUCACUAAAAUUGUCCAGUCAAAGGGGAUAAGCAUUUACAUAGAAAAUCUGUAUGUCACCCGGACUUGGCUUGCACCCUAUGGCUGUGAUCCAUUGCAGUCCUUUCCUACUGAUGCUCAGAGGAUGCACAUCAUAGUUCUCCCUCUCUGGACCCCUGGUCAUUUCCAGUUGUGUGAAUCUUGCAGUGAAGAUCAUUCCCGGGCAGUGGUCAGAAAAAAAGAGCUGUGACUUGAAGG
Non-coding RNA from Maylandia zebra (zebra mbuna), 473 nucleotides. The record is from RefSeq and is a predicted model, not a curated record. NCBI's taxonomy places the organism in Eukaryota, Metazoa, Chordata, Actinopteri, Cichliformes, Cichlidae.